ACAUGACCGCCUUGUUCAGGUGAUCCUCGCACUCCCCUAGCUCGUGCUGGGCCUCCCCGGUCACGUGGGGCCGGAGCCCGGGGAAGGAGGGGAGAGGUCCUGCCUUGCGUGGGCCGCCCUGGUGGCCCGCCCGAGGCGAAGCCGGGGGCACCUGGGCGCCGCCCGAGUCCCGAUCGGGCGGGAGGAUGGAGGAACGGCGUGGCCCCCGCUCCUGUGGCCUCCCAGGAUGGCUCGCGGCGGGCCUCCCAGGAUGCCUCAGGACGCCGCACGGAGGGGCUUCCGUGGCCCAGGCUUAGAAGCCAAAGCUAGCCCUGCUUGUAAUCGCCCGGCCCCGGGAAGUCGCAGAUCGCGUGGGGGGGGUUAGCCCCUACGUCCCGGGGAUGCUGUAAGGAUGCGAUGAGAUGAGAAAAAGGAGACUCAGAGAGGGCAAGUGAGUUACCUAUAGACACACAGCUGGUAAGUAUUAAAGCUGGGAUUUGAAUACAAGUCAAGUCAAAUCAAAUUAAAUCAGUAAGCAAUUAUUAAGUGCCUACUAUGAACCAGGCACUGUGCCAAGGUCUUCUGACUCUAAGUGAAUUAUUAUUUCUAGUAUAUAUACAAUGAACCAGAAUGUUAAAAAAAAAAAUCAUGGACCACAAGGUGGCAGAAUUAUAACAUUGUACAUCAGUUUUUUUUAAAAAAAUUCCAAUUUUACUAAAAAUAAAUAUCUUUAAACUAUUCUUAAUCACCUUCUCCCCGCCAUCUCCAUCCCUAUCUGCUGUAGGUCAGGAGACCAAUAAUAUCCUUAAAAUACAUUCUUUAUACCAUAACCAGGCUCUCUCUGCUAUCUUCUCUUAAUUAACAUUUUUUUCUUUUUGAUGUGUAUUACUUUGCCAAAAACAAUAGGAAUUAGUCAGCUAAUAAUCGUUAAUUUUGCACCUGUCCCAUACUAUAGAGUAAGAAUCAGAGUGAAGAAAGAAUGAAAUAUACAAGGAAGCUUCUAGUUAGGGAAAGAAAAUCUAAAUAAAUAAAAAAGAUUUAAGAAUGUUGACAUAGCACAGGUUAAGUAAUGUUUCAAAGUCACAAGGUUAUGAAUAGUAGAAAUGGGACUGUGACCUAGGUCAUAUGACUUCAAGUUCAGAUACCACAAGACCCCACCACAAAAUGAUAAAAAAUUUUCCUUCCUUCUUAGUGGUUUCCUCAUCACCCCACUCCAUGCCUAGCCCCUGCGAAGACCUAUCUUCUAGGGACCUGCCUACUUACCUGUUUCAUUAGUGGUCUUUAGAGAUUAACACCAGCAGAUAUGAUCUUCCUGUCCCUCUCCUUAAUCAUUAGCUUCCCUUUUUCUUACUUCCUCUUUUCUGCAUUCUUUCCUCGUUCUGUAAAACAAGAAGUUUGAAAUAAACUCUAAAGUCCCUCUCAGUUCCAAUAUUGCAAAACUUUUUCUUUUAUGUAUGAUUUGUGAUUUUAUUAUAUGACUUUGGUAACUAUAGAAUGUCAAAUAUAGAAAAUAUUGUCAAAGGCAUAGCUAGGACAGAGCAACUAGAGUUUUAUUGUAGGGUACUGAAAUUUAGAAAUCUGACAGCACUUGAACUCUUGGUAACAUAGAAAUAAUUUAACUGAACACCUAGUUAGCAUGAAAAAUGAAUUAAAUGGGAAAUUAUUGGAUGAGAUUACAUCCUAGUUGUUACUCUUGGCCAACCCCAUCCUGUUCCACUCCUCUCAAUUAUAAUGAUCUCCCCAGAAGCAGCCUUAUAAUGUCCUGAAGUCUCAACUAAGGAAAAUCAACCCUAGGUCUUGGUCUCUGUAGGAAAACCACACCUCAAACUGAAGUAUCUUAAGUAGCAAAAACCGUAAUUAUAGCUGGUUUUUAAUUUAUUUUUGUAUGAACCUUUCAGAAAUCUGGUGAAGCCUUAAGACCCUUUUACAGAAUAAAAUUUAAUUAAAGGAGGGAGGGAGGCAGGGAAGGAGGAAAGGAGGCAGGAAGGGAGGAAAGGAAGGA
This 1981-nucleotide long non-coding RNA is filed under the name Sarcophilus harrisii (Tasmanian devil). Its description in RNAcentral is "lncRNA (ENSSHAG00000030936.1)". The record is from RNAcentral. Lineage: Eukaryota; Metazoa; Chordata; Mammalia; Dasyuromorphia; Dasyuridae.